UUACGGCCAUAUCACGUCGAAACAUUGGUUCCCGUACGAUCACCGAUGUUAAGCAACGUCCAGCUUCGUCAGUCUCUCGAUGGGUGACCGCUUUGGAAUACCAGCUGCUGUAAG
Non-coding RNA from Acanthosepion pharaonis, 114 nucleotides. The record is from the annotation of a GenBank genome assembly. NCBI's taxonomy places the organism in Eukaryota, Metazoa, Mollusca, Cephalopoda, Sepiida, Sepiidae.